Molecule: long non-coding RNA, 342 nt
Organism: Vitis vinifera (wine grape)
Lineage: Eukaryota; Viridiplantae; Streptophyta; Magnoliopsida; Vitales; Vitaceae
Exons: 2
Source: RefSeq, a predicted model, not a curated record
GGCAAAGACAAGAAAUAUGGGAUCAUCCAAGCUUCAAUUCACUUCUCUCCUCAUCUUUUCCCUUAUUCUCCUCUCUCAUUCUCUUGGGGCCAUGGCGCAAGAUCCAGGGAGUGAUUGCGACUUUGUAGGGUCAUGCAAGAAUAAGGCAGACUGUGCAAAACCUUGCGGAGCAAAAGGCCAUUCUCCUACUGCUGUCUUGUGUGUUCCAAAUCCUAACGGUGGAAAGCGUUGUUGUUGUAUUAUUGCUUGAUAACUACGAUUUCCGAGUUGUUUCUUAAUAACUCUACCAUCAAAUAAGUAUUUUUAAUAAAAUAAUAUAAAUAAAAUAAAUUUAUUUUUCCA